CGCAAGCCUGACGGAGCAAUACCGCGUGAGGGAGGAAGGCUCUUGGGUCGUAAACCUCUUUUCUCAGGGAAGAACACAAUGACGGUACCUGAGGAAUCAGCAUCGGCUAACUCCGUGCCAGCAGCCGCGGUAAUACGGAGGAUGCAAGCGUUAUCCGGAAUCAUUGGGCGUAAAGCGUCCGCAGGUGGCUUUUCAAGUCUGCUGUCAAAGCCCGGGGCUCAACCCUGGAGAGGCAGUGGAAACUGAGGAGCUGGAGUGCGGUAGGGGCAGAGGGAAUUCCCGGUGUAGCGGUGAAAUGCGUAGAUAUCGGGAAGAACACCAGUGGCGAAGGCGCUCUGCUGGACCGUAACUGACACUCAUGGACGAAAGCUAGGGGAGCG
This 380-nucleotide ribosomal RNA is filed under the name uncultured cyanobacterium. RNAcentral's name for it is "bacterial SSU rRNA". It matches the Rfam family "Bacterial small subunit ribosomal RNA", at positions 376 to 770 of the family's 1533-position model. The record is from RNAcentral. Lineage: Bacteria; Bacillati; Cyanobacteriota.